CUACGUGCCAGCAGCCGCGGUAAUACGGAAGGUUCUGGUGUUAUCCGGAUUUAUUGGGUUUAAAGGGAGCGUAGGCCGGAGAUUAAGUGUGUUGUGAAAUGUAGACGCUCAACGUCUGACUUGCAGCGCAUACUGGUUUCCUUGAGUACGCACAACGUUGGCGGAAUUCGUCGUGUAGCGGUGAAAUGCUUAGAUAUGACGAAGAACUCCGAUUGCGAAGGCAGCUGACGGGAGCGCAACUGACGCUUAAGCUCGAAGGUGCGGGUAUCGAACAGGAUUAGAUACCCUGGUAGUCCGCACAGUAAACGAUGGAUGCCCGCUGUUGGUACCUGGUAUCAGCGGCUAAGCGAAAGCAUUAAGCAUCCCACCUGGGGAGUACGCCGGCAACGGUGAAACUCAAAGGAAUUGACGGGGGCCCGCACAAGCGGAGGAACAUGUGGUUUAAUUCGAUGAUACGCGAGGAACCUUACCCGGGCUUGAAUUGCAGAGGAAGGAUUUAGAGAUA
RNAcentral lists this ribosomal RNA (505 nucleotides) under uncultured bacterium. RNAcentral's name for it is "bacterial SSU rRNA". It matches the Rfam family "Bacterial small subunit ribosomal RNA", at positions 501 to 1008 of the family's 1533-position model. The record is from RNAcentral.